This 494-nucleotide ribosomal RNA is filed under the name uncultured bacterium. Its description in RNAcentral is "partial 16S ribosomal RNA". It matches the Rfam family "Bacterial small subunit ribosomal RNA", at positions 30 to 506 of the family's 1533-position model. The record is from RNAcentral.
UGAACGCUGGCGGCGUGCCUAAUACAUGCAAGUCGAGCGAACGGACGAGAAGCUUGCUUCUCUGCUGUUAGCGGCGGACGGGUGAGUAACACGUGGAUAACCUACCUAUAAGACUGGGAUAACUUCGGGAAACCGGAGCUAAUACCGGAUAAUAUUUUGAACCGCAUGGUUCAAAAGUGAAAGACGGUCUUGCUGUCACUUAUAGAUGGAUCCGCGCUGCAUUAGCUAGUUGGUAAGGUAACGGCUUACCAAGGCAACGAUGCAUAGCCGACCUGAGAGGGUGAUCGGCCACACUGGAACUGAGACACGGUCCAGACUCCUACGGGAGGCAGCAGUAGGGAAUCUUCCGCAAUGGGCGAAAGCCUGACGGAGCAACGCCGCGUGAGUGAUGAAGGUCUUCGGAUCGUAAAACGCUGUUAUUAGGGAAGAACAUAUGUGUAAGUAACUGUGCACAUCUUGACGGUACCUAAGCAGAAAGCCACGGCUAACUACGU